GUUUAACGUGCGCAGCUACACAUGCAGUCGAGCGGUAGCACAAAGAGCUUGCUCUCGGGUGGCGAGCGGCGGACGGGUGAGUAAUGUCUGGGAAACUGCCUGAUGGAGGGGGAUAACUACUGGAAACGGUAGCUAAUACCGCAUAAUGUCUCAGGACCAAAGGGGGGGACCUUCGGGCCUCGUGCCAUCUGAUGUGCCCAGAUGGGAUUAGCUAGUAGGUGGGGUAACGGCUCACCUAGGCUACCAUCCCUAACUGGUCUGAGAGGAUGACCAGCCACACUGGAACUGACACACGGUCCAGACUCCUACGGGAGGCAGCAGUGGGGAAUAUUGCACAAUGGGCGCAAGCCUGAUGCACCAUGCCGCGUGUGUGAAGAAGGCCUUCGGGUUGUAAAGCACUUUCAGCGGGGAGGAAGGCGAUGAGGUUAAUAACCUCGUCGAUUGACGUUACCCGCCGGUAAUACCGGCUAACUCCGUGCCAGCAGCCGCGGUAAUACGGAGGGUGCAAGCGUUAAUCGGAAUUACUGGGCGUAAAGCGCACGCAGGCGGUCUGUCAAGUCUGAUGUGAAAUCCCUGGGCUCAACCUGGGAACUGCAUUCGAAACUGGCAGGCUAUGGCUUGUAUAAGGGGGUAGAAUUCCAGGUGUAGCGGUGAAUUGCCGAGAAAUCUCGCA
Molecule: ribosomal RNA, 673 nt
Filed under: Klebsiella variicola
Lineage: Bacteria; Pseudomonadati; Pseudomonadota; Gammaproteobacteria; Enterobacterales; Enterobacteriaceae
Description: bacterial SSU rRNA
Rfam family: Bacterial small subunit ribosomal RNA
Source: RNAcentral